GACACACUCACACCCGGCUUUCUCUACAACAUUUCAACGUCAUGAAAUCUACUCGAAUCCGAUUCUGUGUUAUAGUACUGCACUCUUAUUAUUUUUUCGCCAUAACUUGGAGGCUUCUCUGAGACAGUGUAAGCUAAACGCUGAUGCUGAACGAACCAAGAAAACGAAACAUAGCAUUCUGCCGGCGCUACUUUUCUUUCAUCCAUAGGCUACAUUUGCUUCAGAAGUUUUCUCCCCAAAUGUAAGCGACGGCGAAGGUAUUUUUGUACGUUUCUUUGGUUGUUCAUGCACUUUUACUUUUUGUGCUAUUUAGUAUUUUUCUCUACAAAACAGACCAACAGUUCCAUGGACAAUAUUUUAGAAAAGCGGGUGGUCUCCAUUACGGAAUACAAUUGGCGACUGAAUGAAUUGAGGCCACACACAGAAAGGGAACAGUUGAUUCGGCACUACGAACUGAAAUAAUUCGGAUUCUUUGCCGCUAUUCACGUGGUUCCGUCUACAGGAAGUGAUCUGGUCUGGUGGUGGUGUAGUCAGGUGGUGGUGUAGUCAGGUGCGGUGUGGUCCAGGGUGUAUAGCCGCUGCUGCUUCUCUCCCUCCGCCUGACGCCCUCUGCUGGCCCUGCCCAUGGCACAUACUGCUCUCCUGUGAAUCUCAUCCAGCAAGCUGGACACCGCAGCUUCACACCACAACACCUCUGCCUCCACCUCCGCCCCUCCCCACAGGGAACCCUCCAAUCCGCAGCCAGACUACCCCAGCGCGCACGGCCCCCGCGAAGAGCAGUAUGUGACUGAGGUCGCGCCCCCCGAUGAUGUCACCACCGUCUACAGAGAUGCCGGGACCAUCACUGAUGUGUGUAACAGUACUGAUCUUCCAGAGGUGGAGAUCAUCAGUCUGCUGGAGGAGCAGCUGCCCCACUACAAGCUGAGAGCAGACACCAUCUACGGGUAUGACCACGACGACUGGCUCCACACCCCUCUCCUCUCCCCCGAUACCAACCUGGACCUCACCGUCGAGCAGAUUGAGGAGACACUG
This is a long non-coding RNA of Salvelinus namaycush (lake trout), 1032 nucleotides long. RefSeq lists it as uncharacterized. The record is from RefSeq and is a predicted model, not a curated record. Lineage: Eukaryota; Metazoa; Chordata; Actinopteri; Salmoniformes; Salmonidae. The transcript is spliced from 3 exons.